RNAcentral lists this ribosomal RNA (406 nucleotides) under uncultured bacterium. RNAcentral's name for it is "partial 16S ribosomal RNA". It matches the Rfam family "Bacterial small subunit ribosomal RNA", at positions 30 to 526 of the family's 1533-position model. The record is from RNAcentral.
AUUGAACGCUGGCGGCAGGCUUAACCCAUGCAAGUCGAACGAGCGGCGGACGGGUGAGUAAUGUCUGGGAAACUGCCUGAUGGAGGGGGAUAACUACUGGAAACGGUAGCUAAUACCGCAUACCAUCGGAUGUGCCCAGAUGGGAUUAGCUAGUAGGUGGGGUAAUGGCUCACCUAGGCGACGAUCCCUAGCUGGUCUGAGAUGAUGACCAGCCACACUGGAACUGAGACACGGUCCAGACUCCUACGGGAGGCAGCAGUGGGGAAUAUUGCACAAUGGGCGCAAGCCUGAUGCAGCCAUGCGGCGUGUAUGAAGAAGGCCUUCGGGUUGUAAAGUACUUUCAGCGGGGAGGCGUUACCCGCAGAAGAAGCACCGGCUAACUCAGUGCCAGCAGCCGCGGUAAUAC